AUACGUAGGGAGCGAGCGUUAUCCGGAAUUAUUGGGUGUAAAGGGUGCGUAGACGGGAGUCUAAGUUGGUUGUGAAAUCCCUCGGCUUAACUGAGGAACUGCAACCAAAACUGGAUUUCUUGAGUGCAGGAGAGGAAAGUGGAAUUCCUAGUGUGAGCGGUGAAAUGCGUAGAUAUUAGGAGGAACACCAGUGGCGAAGGCGACUUUCUGGACUGUAACUGACGUUGAGGCACGAAAGUGUGGGGAGCAAACAGGAUUAGAUACCCUGGUAGUCCACACUGUAAACGAUGGAUACUAGGUGUAGGAAAUGAUUUCAUUAUCUGUGCCGAAAGCUAACGCAAUAAGUAUCACACCUGGUGAGUACGGCCGCAAGGCUGAA
Molecule: ribosomal RNA, 379 nt
Filed under: uncultured bacterium
Lineage: Bacteria
Description: bacterial SSU rRNA
Rfam family: Bacterial small subunit ribosomal RNA
Source: RNAcentral